UUUGUACCUGAAUGCUUUUCUGUGUCAUUGGUCCUAUUGCAAUGACUCUCAGUACUUGGGUCAAAAUGAAAGAGCCCUCUGAUGAAAACAAAAUGCUUUUGCAACUGGGAUGAAUCUCAUCACUUAUUGGCUGCACGCACAUUGAAAUAGUGCACAGGUAUUGCAGAAGCUAACCAGUGCCUGCUAUAAAUUCAAGUGGCUAAAAACCUGACAGCUCCCAUUGGAGUCUGUCUGCUUCCGUUGCUGUUUGUUUCCUGGAUGUGGUUUGGAGCUCUGGAUGGCAGGAAGUCGUGGUGUGUGCCGAGCUGGGGAGUAACGGCUCCAAGAGCCUGAGCACAUCUGAACAGAGGGAAGAACGGAGCAAGCAGCUCACCCAGCAGGGCUGGGAGCACGGAGGGACUCACCUUGUGUGGAAUAAUUUCAGUGUUGUGAGAAGGGGAAAUCCGCAUGCCUAAAAACCUACAGAUAGCUAUAUUGGUUAUCUGUUGUUAAUGCUUGAAUUUACUUGCUUAUGUCUACUAAAAAAAUUGCUUUUUCAAAAUGCAGUUGUAGCAAAAGCAUUUGAUCCUUGUUGUUCCA
This is a long non-coding RNA of Tympanuchus pallidicinctus (lesser prairie-chicken), 579 nucleotides long. RefSeq lists it as uncharacterized. The record is from RefSeq and is a predicted model, not a curated record. The transcript has 2 exons. Lineage: Eukaryota; Metazoa; Chordata; Aves; Galliformes; Phasianidae.